CUGCGUGUUGCUGAAACACACUGGAUACAUAUGUAAACGUGUGUGUGUGUGUGUUUUAUCACUGAUGUGUGUGUGUGUGUGUGUUACGGUGUAAGAUGCCGGUGUCUCGGCUGCUCGGUACCGGGCUGAGCUCCGGAUUCAGCGCGCGGGUUUAUAGUAACAUUAAUAACUUUAUUAUUAACAAGAAUUUACAAAAUAAGAAGCCGAGCCGGAGUGUGUCGGGGCUCAGAGACACCACACACACUCACACUGCACACACUCACACCACACACACUCACACUGCACACACUACACACACUCACACUGUACACACUCACACUGCACACACUCACAGCGGAAGUGUGUGUGUCGCGGAGAGAGAGGUGCGGGUCCGAUUCGCCCCCAGUCCCACCGGGUUUCUACACCUGGGCGGUUUGCGUACGGCGCUCUAUAACUUCCUGUUUGCGAAGCAGCAUGGCGGGACGUUUAUCCUGCGGCUGGAGGACACGGAUCGAUCACGCAUCGUACACGGAGCAGCACAGGACAUCGAACACACGCUCGAGUGGGCGGGUAUUCCCCCUGAUGAGAGUGUAUCUAGAGGAGGUGUGUAUGGUCCGUAUGUCCAGUCUGAGCGUUUGAGUUUGUAUUCUGCUGCUGCGACGUCUCUGAUAGAAUCAGGCCACGCCUACUACUGCUUCUGCACCAAUCACAGAUUAGAGCUGCUCAAGAAGGAAGCACUGCGCAGAGGACAGACACCACGGUAUGAUAACAGGUGCAGGCACCUACAUGCUGAUCAGGUGCAGGAGAACCUGGCUGAGGGUAAACCCCACGCUGUUCGUUUUCGUCUCCAUCCGGAGGCGGAGCCGUUUGAGGACCUGGUGUUUGGUUGGACGGGGCACGCGGUGGGGGAGGUCGAGGGCGACCCUGUGAUCCUGAAGAACGACGGAUUCCCCACCUAUCACCUGGCCAACGUGGUCGAUGACGCACACAUGCACGUGAGCCAUGUUCUGCGUGGUGCUGAGUGGCUCACCUCCACCUGUAAACACCUGCAGCUCUACCGUGCCCUGCACAUGACUCCGCCCACCUAUGCUCACCUGCCGCUACUACUGAACCCAGACGGAACCAAACUGUCCAAACGGCAGGGCGACAUUUACAUCUCACACUUCAGACAGCAGGGAGCGCUGCCCGAGGCACUGCUCGACCUCAUCACUAACUGCGGCUCCGGGUUCAACAGUAAUCGUAUUGGCCGAAAUCUGAAUGAGCUGAUCAGUGAAUUUAACGUCUCAAAAAUCGUGACGCACUCGGCUGUGCUCGAUCUCAGCAAACUCCCAGAAUUCAACAGGGUUCACCUGCAGCAGCGUAUUGAGGAUGAGCUUCAGAGUCGCCUCCUGGUGGACGAAGUGAGGAAUCUCCUCACACUCACUUACAGAGAUCAGAUACAGGAACAGGAAGUUCUGGAUCACAAUUACAUCCUCAGAGUUCUGCACAUGAGGAAGCGUCAUAUCUCGUCAGUGAAAGACCUGCUCUCUCCCAUGUACUCGUACCUGUGGCUCCGCCCCUCCGUAUCCCGGCAACAACUGGAGGAGAUGAGCUCUGAAUCACAUGACAUCAUCACUCACGUCAUGCUGGUAAUUAAAGGAUGUAAUGGUGAAUACACUCCCGAGUUCCUCACAGCUGAACUGAAGCUCAUCGCCAAAAAACUAAAGAAAACCAAAUACAGUUCAGUUAUGAAGUUACUGAGACUUGCUCUGACUGGACAACAGCUGCUCCCGUUAGGGGUGGUUACCGCAGGUCAUUGGUCCGCAUAUCUGAUUUGGCACGGUGUUUACGCCGGAUGUCCUUCCUGACGCAACCCUCCCCGGUUUUAUCCGGGCUUCAGACCGGCACUGUUAUGUGCUGGGGUCGGUUCCCUGGCGGGCCCCAGUGUGGGUGAGAUCAUGGUCUCUCUCGGUGAGGAUGAGGUUUGUUGUCGCCUACAGAGGAUUUUAGAAGAGUAACUCUAGAACCCUGCCUGUUUUGGAGAGCUGUAGAACCCUGCCUGUUUUGGAGAGCUCUAGAACCCUGCCUGUUUUGGAGGGCUCUAGAACCCUGGCAGACUCGGUGAUUUUGGGAAACUCUUUGAGGACUGUUCUGAUUGAGCUGCAUUUUUCUUUGUCUUGUACAAAAUAAAAAUGUGUUUGAUGUGUAAACAA
Molecule: RNA transcript, 2171 nt
Organism: Pangasianodon hypophthalmus (striped catfish)
Lineage: Eukaryota; Metazoa; Chordata; Actinopteri; Siluriformes; Pangasiidae
Gene: ears2
Gene name: glutamyl-tRNA synthetase 2, mitochondrial
Exons: 10
Source: RefSeq, a predicted model, not a curated record